UGCAAGUCGAGCGGACAGAUGGGAGCUUGCUCCCUGAUGUUAGCGGCGGACGGGUGAGUAACACGUGGGUAACCUGCCUGUAAGACUGGGAUAACUCCGGGAAACCGGGGCUAAUACCGGAUGGUUGUUUGAACCGCAUGGUUCAGACAUAAAAGGUGGCUUCGGCUACCACUUACAGAUGGACCCGCGGCGCAUUAGCUAGUUGGUGAGGUAACGGCUCACCAAGGCGACGAUGCGUAGCCGACCUGAGAGGGUGAUCGGCCACACUGGGACUGAGACACGGCCCAGACUCCUACGGGAGGCAGCAGUAGGGAAUCUUCCGCAAUGGACGAAAGUCUGACGGAGCAACGCCGCGUGAGUGAUGAAGGUUUUCGGAUCGUAAAGCUCUGUUGUUAGGGAAGAACAAGUGCCGUUCAAAUAGGGCGGCACCUUGACGGUACCUAACCAGAAAGCCACGGCUAACUACGUGCCAGCAGCCGCGGUAAUACGUAGGUGGCAAGCGUUGUCCGGAAUUAUUGGGCGUAAAGGGCUCGCAGGCGGUUUCUUAAGUCUGAUGUGAAAGCCCCCGGCUCAACCGGGGAGGGUCAUUGGAAACUGGGGAACUUGAGUGCAGAAGAGGAGAGUGGAAUUCCACGUGUAGCGGUGAAAUGCGUAGAGAUGUGGAGGAACACCAGUGGCGAAGGCGACUCUCUGGUCUGUAACUGACGCUGAGGAGCGAAAGCGUGGGGAGCGAACAGGAUUAGAUACCCUGGUAGUCCACGCCGUAAACGAUGAGUGCUAAGUGUUAGGGGGUUUCCGCCCCUUAGUGCUGCAGCUAACGCAUUAAGCACUCCGCCUGGGGAGUACGGUCGCAA
This 854-nucleotide ribosomal RNA is filed under the name Bacillus sp. (in: firmicutes). Its description in RNAcentral is "bacterial SSU rRNA". It matches the Rfam family "Bacterial small subunit ribosomal RNA", at positions 56 to 891 of the family's 1533-position model. The record is from RNAcentral. Lineage: Bacteria; Bacillati; Bacillota; Bacilli; Caryophanales; Bacillaceae.